CUAACGCUCCAGCUCUGUGGGCACAUUCAAUUGAUUCAAAUGCCCGACAAUCUUUUCAAUUAUUUCUUAUCACCUACGGCACCAAGGCAAAUGCACAUACACUGACAGAAAUUCUGUAGAGGAUAAGAGGAGCAUGCCAAAUUAAAAAAAAAAUAAUGAAGAUGAAACUUCUGUUGUUAAUUAGUCAUGAAUUGCUUGCCUUAUAAAAACUAUUUGUUAUCCCCAUUAAACUAUAUUAGAUGUAAUUUACUAUAAAUUCAAUUGGAAGACGUAAUGUGCUUUUAUAGCUUGCCAAUGUGUUUGAUUUAUUGUAAAUGUAGUAGGUAGUAAUUUUUAUAUCUUUUGCCAAGCGAUCUUUUUUCCAGUGCACUUUCAUGGCUGGCUGACAACAUUGUUGCAAGUUUCUGACCAAGUUACUAAUGGCAUUCGAUGAUUUUGUUGGUUUUGCCUUGAUUCUUCCUCCAGCCUGAGAUGCUUAGCAUAUUCAGCUAUUUGAGGAUCAAACGAGUAUCUUAACGAUCCCGGCCAACGACAUUCGAUUGAUAUAAAUUUUGAGCCAACUUUCUGCUAUCACCACAACUUGUCCUGGCUCUUUGAAUUGUUCGGUCGGUGGCUGCCAGUUUUAAGAGCGGUCGAUGCACAUUUUCGGCUUUCAACGAAUUUUUGCGUUUAGCCAUCGAUUCAAAGCUUUUCGGCGGAUGGCAGCAGUUUGAUUAAUUACCAUGGCCAAUGCGAAGGAAAAUCGCUGUACGAGUUUUGUUUGGCGGUGCUGUGGCAAAUUGUACACAAGUUCCGGCGAAAUGGAAAAAAAACCAUUGACAAAUGUCUGGCAGGACUGCCGCCUUCUAGGCCC
This 853-nucleotide unclassified non-coding RNA is filed under the name Drosophila melanogaster (fruit fly). The record is from RNAcentral. Lineage: Eukaryota; Metazoa; Arthropoda; Insecta; Diptera; Drosophilidae.